UUGGUUUGGUUUGUUAUUUCUCUCUGCGUGUGUAACUGUUUCUUGUUCCUAGGAUCAGCGGGAUACCACCAUUACCUCCCUUAGGAUCCUGCAGCCAUAGCAAGGUCCUGGUAAUUGGGAAAAGUUCCUGAUGAUUGAAGAAAGGAUAAAUGUCAUUCCUGUUGUCAGGAAUGGCAGUGAGGAUCCACACAACUACCAGCUGGUCAGCCUUAACUCAGUCCCUGGAAGAGUGGACAGCACAUCCUUCUGGAAGCUAUUUCAAAGCACGUGAAGGACAAGAAAAUGACUGGAAACAGCCAUCAGGGAUUUACCAAUGACCAACCUCAUUACCUUCUACAGUGAGGCAACAGCCUGGGUGGACAACAGGAGGGCACUUGGUGUUGUAUUGGUUGAUAGUAGCCUUGACUUUGUCAUGACAUGGUCUCCCAACUGUCUACUUGUAGCCCAGUUGGUGACAUUGGGACUGGGUAAGUGGAGUGUGAAGUGAGUGAGAAACGGGGUGGGUGGUUGGGCUGAAGGGGUCAUAUCAACUAUAUGCAGCCCAACUGGCAACUAGCUGCUAUGGGAUCCUUCAGGAAAGGGGCCUCCCUCUCAGUAGCAAGAUGCUGGCAGCACAACUGCUGUGAAGAUGUGUCUGUUGCCACCAGAAGCUGGAGGGGGUGUGUAUGUGAAUAAGGCGGCUUGGAGGAAACCCUUCUCUUGACUUAAUUACCUAUUAACCUACAUUUCCUCCUUCUGUUUCACUGGUGAUGAAACCUAAAUGCAGAACCUGUUACUGACAAGUGUAUGGAAUAUGUGUCUGGUCAUUGGAGUUUUCAGCAGAAGCAUGUGGCUGCUGUUGGGAAUUCCUCACCUCUGAGUGACAAGAGCUACUGAGGACCUGUAGCCAGGUUGGCAUAGUGGAAAUUGCAUGGGAACCGUACCUACAGCCACCCCUCCUGGCAUUCCUUCAAGGGCUCUUAAGGUUUACUGCAGAGGGAGUAGUCUUACACAUACAACAUUUGCUCCUCCAUCUCUGGGUUGACACAGAUGAUCACUGCAGAGACCACAGACACGUUCUGUUAUGGGAUGGAGGAUUCCAGACAGAAAGUACCAAAUGGGCAGGAAGUUCCCAGUUACAUGCACAGCAUAGGGAUGCUGUCUGCAAGCUUUAUUUUAACGUGAUUGAUAAAUAUUGGGGAGCCACCUGAAUGGGAGUGCCCUUCAUGAAGGCUGGCAUUAAUGGAGCAGAGGGAAGACCCAGCAGAGCCAGUGAUCAGGUG
Molecule: long non-coding RNA, 1262 nt
Organism: Neopsephotus bourkii (Bourke's parrot)
Lineage: Eukaryota; Metazoa; Chordata; Aves; Psittaciformes; Psittacidae
Exons: 4
Source: RefSeq, a predicted model, not a curated record